This 484-nucleotide ribosomal RNA is filed under the name uncultured bacterium. RNAcentral describes it as "partial 16S ribosomal RNA". It matches the Rfam family "Bacterial small subunit ribosomal RNA", at positions 30 to 507 of the family's 1533-position model. The record is from RNAcentral.
AUUGAACGCUGGCGGCAGGCCUAACACAUGCAAGUCGAGCGGAUGAAGGGAGCUUGCUCCUGGAUUCAGCGGCGGACGGGUGAGUAAUGCCUAGGAAUCUGCCUGGUAGUGGGGGAUAACGUCCGGAAACGGGCGCUAAUACCGCAUACGUCCUGAGGGAGAAAGUGGGGGACCUUCGGACCUCACGCUAUCAGAUGAGCCUAGGUCGGAUUAGCUAGUUGGUGGGGUAAAGGCCUACCAAGGCGACGAUCCGUAACUGGUCUGAGAGGAUGAUCAGUCACACUGGAACUGAGACACGGUCCAGACUCCUACGGGAGGCAGCAGUGGGGAAUAUUGGACAAUGGGCGAAAGCCUGAUCCAGCCAUGCCGCGUGUGUGAAGAAGGUCUUCGGAUUGUAAAGCACUUUAAGUUGGGAGGUAGGGCAGUAAGUUAAUACCUUGCUGUUUUGACGUUACCAACAGAAUAAGCACCGGCUAACUUCGUG